GUGCUCACUUCGGCAGCACAUGUACUAAAAUUGGAACGAUACAGAGGUUAGCAUGGCCCCUGAGCAAGGGUGACACGCAGGUGAAUGUAGGGCUGAAAGUUAGG
Molecule: small nuclear RNA, 104 nt
Organism: Dromiciops gliroides (monito del monte)
Lineage: Eukaryota; Metazoa; Chordata; Mammalia; Microbiotheria; Microbiotheriidae
Source: RefSeq, a predicted model, not a curated record